CAGGGAAUCUUGCGCAAUGGGCGAAAGCCUGACGCAGCGACACCGCGUGGAGGAAGAAGGCCUUAGGGCUGUAAACUCCUUUUCUUAGGGAAGAGAACGGAGGGUACCUAAGGAAUAAGGCUCGGCUAACUACGUGCCAGCAGCCGCGGUAAUACGUAGGAUCCAUGCGUUGUCCGGAUUUACUGGGCGUAAAGGGUGCGUAGGCGGCUUGUUAAGUCUCAUGUGAAAACUCCCGGCUUAACUGGGAGGGGUCAUGGGAUACUGGCAAGCUUGAGGUCAGUAGAGGAGAGCGGAAUUCCCGGAGUAGCGGUGAUAUGCGUAGAUACCGGGAGGAACACCAGAGGCGAAGGCGGCUCUCUGGGCUGCACCUGACGCUGAUGCACGAAAGCGUGGGGAGCAAACAGGAUUAGAUACCCGCGUAGUCC
Molecule: ribosomal RNA, 425 nt
Filed under: uncultured prokaryote
Description: bacterial SSU rRNA
Rfam family: Bacterial small subunit ribosomal RNA
Source: RNAcentral